Molecule: ribosomal RNA, 505 nt
Filed under: uncultured bacterium
Lineage: Bacteria
Description: partial 16S ribosomal RNA
Rfam family: Bacterial small subunit ribosomal RNA
Source: RNAcentral
GACGAACGCUGGCGGCGUGCCUAAUACAUGCAAGUAGAACGCACAGUUUAUACCGUAGCUUGCUACACCAUAGACUGUGAGUUGCGAACGGGUGAGUAACGCGUAGGUAACCUGCCUGGUAGCGGGGGAUAACUAUUGGAAACGAUAGCUAAUACCGCAUAAUAUUAAUUAUUGCAUGAUAAUUAAUUGAAAGGUGCAAUUGCACCACUACCAGAUGGACCUGCGUUGUAUUAGCUAGUAGGUGAGGUAACGGCUCACCUAGGCGACGAUACAUAGCCGACCUGAGAGGGUGAUCGGCCACACUGGGACUGAGACACGGCCCAGACUCCUACGGGAGGCAGCAGUAGGGAGUCUUCGGCAAUGGACGAAAGUCUGACCGAGCAACGCCGCGUGAGUGAAGAAGGUUUUCGGAUCGUAAAGCUCUGUUGUAAGAGAAGAACGGGUGUGAGAGUGGAAAGUUCACACUGUGACGGUAUCUGACCAGAAAGGGACGGCUAACUACGUG